RNAcentral lists this ribosomal RNA (431 nucleotides) under uncultured bacterium. RNAcentral describes it as "partial 16S ribosomal RNA". It matches the Rfam family "Bacterial small subunit ribosomal RNA", at positions 29 to 507 of the family's 1533-position model. The record is from RNAcentral.
AACGAACGCUGGCGGCAGGCUUAACACAUGCAAGUCGAACGCCCCGCAAGGGGAGUGGCAGGCGGGUGAGUAACGCGUGGGAACAUACCCUUUUCUAUGGAAUAGCUCUGGGAAACUGGAAUUAAUACCGUAUACGUCCUACGGGGGGAAGAUUUAUCGGGGAAGGAUUGGCCCGCGUUGGAUUAGCUAGUUGGUGGGGUAAAGGCCUACCAAGGCGACGAUCCAUAGCUGGUCUGAGAGGAUGAUCAGCCACAUUGGGACUGAGACACGGCCCAAACUCCUACGGGAGGCAGCAGUGGGGAAUAUUGGACAAUGGGCGCAAGCCUGAUGCAGCCAUGCCGCGUGAGUGAUGAAGGCCUUAGGGUUGUAAAGCUCUUUCACCGAUGAAGAUAAUGACGGUAGUCGGAGAAGAAGCCCCGGCUAACUUCGUG